AGUGAACGCUGGCGGUAGGCCUAACACAUGCAAGUCGAACGGCAGCACAGUAAGAGCUUGCUCUUACGGGUGGCGAGUGGCGGACGGGUGAGGAAUACAUCGGAAUCUACUUUUUCGUGGGGGAUAACGUAGGGAAACUUACGCUAAUACCGCAUACGACCUACGGGUGAAGGCAGGGGAUCUUCGGACCUUGCGCGAUUGAAUGAGCCGAUGUCGGAUUAGCUAGUUGGCGGGGUAAAGGCCCACCAAGGCGACGAUCCGUAGCUGGUCUGAGAGGAUGAUCAGCCACACUGGAACUGAGCCACGGUCCAGACUCCUACGGGAGGCAGCAGUGGGGAAUAUUGGACAAUGGGCGCAAGCCUGAUCCAGCCAUACCGCGUGGGUGAAGAAGGCCUUCGGGUUGUAAAGCCCUUUUGUUGGGAAAGAAAAGCAGCAGGUUAAUACCCCGCUGUUCUGACGGUACCCAAAGAAUAAGCACCGACUAACUUCGUG
RNAcentral lists this ribosomal RNA (492 nucleotides) under uncultured bacterium. RNAcentral's name for it is "partial 16S ribosomal RNA". It matches the Rfam family "Bacterial small subunit ribosomal RNA", at positions 29 to 507 of the family's 1533-position model. The record is from RNAcentral.